CCUACGGGCGGCAGCAGUGGGGAAUAUUGGACAAUGGGCGAAAGCCUGAUCCAGCCAUGCCGCGUGUGUGAAGAAGGCCUUCGGGUUGUAAAGCACUUUCAGUGGGGAAGAAAGCCUUGGGGCUAAUACCCUCGAGGAAGGACAUCACCCACAGAAGAAGCACCGGCUAACUCCGUGCCAGCAGCCGCGGUAAUACGGAGGGUGCGAGCGUUAAUCGGAAUUACUGGGCGUAAAGCGCGCGUAGGCGGUCUGAUAAGCCGGUUGUGAAAGCCCCGGGCUCAACCUGGGAACGGCAUCCGGAACUGUCAGGCUAGAGUGCAGGAGAGGAAAGUAGAAUUCCCGGGGUAGCGGGGAAAAGCGGAGAGAUCGGGAGGAAUACCAGUGGCGAAGGCGGCCUUUUGGACUGACACUGACGCUGAGGUGCGAAAGCGUGGGUAGCAAACAGGAUUAGAUACCCGAGUAGUC
This 465-nucleotide ribosomal RNA is filed under the name Vreelandella stevensii. RNAcentral describes it as "partial 16S ribosomal RNA". It matches the Rfam family "Bacterial small subunit ribosomal RNA", at positions 338 to 795 of the family's 1533-position model. Lineage: Bacteria; Pseudomonadati; Pseudomonadota; Gammaproteobacteria; Oceanospirillales; Halomonadaceae. The record is from RNAcentral.